RNAcentral lists this transfer RNA (67 nucleotides) under Diglossa brunneiventris (black-throated flowerpiercer). RNAcentral describes it as "tRNA-Cys". The record is from RNAcentral. Lineage: Eukaryota; Metazoa; Chordata; Aves; Passeriformes; Thraupidae.
GGCUCUGUAGUGAAAUUCAUAGUGAGUUGCAAGCUCAUUGAUGUGCAUUGGAUAUGCGCCGGAGCCU